Manis pentadactyla (Chinese pangolin) is the source of this 1671-nucleotide long non-coding RNA. RefSeq lists it as uncharacterized. The transcript is spliced from 3 exons. The record is from RefSeq and is a predicted model, not a curated record. Lineage: Eukaryota; Metazoa; Chordata; Mammalia; Pholidota; Manidae.
GGCAGGGGCUGUGUCUGGGUGCGUCCCAGUCUGGACCAGGCCUCCUGCCGUGAUCUGGGGUGUGCUGAUGUGUUUGGAGGAGCAAGUUCGGCAGUGCUCUGCAGCUUUGUCCUCUCUGUCCCUGCCCUGACAGCCACAGCACCCCUGGUUCACCUCUGCACUAAGGCACAGCCUUCCCAGGACCCCCUGGGCCCCUCCACCUGGUGUGGCCACAGCCUCCCUCCCACAGAAGGCCUCUCCAUGGGCACAGGGCAUGUUUGGCUCACAGCCUGGCUUUGUCCCCCUGGGCCAGGACCCCUCCUUCCUGACAUCAGCGUUUCUCAUCAGAGUCAACAGGGUGAGGAGACGGCAGAGGGCCCCAUGCUUGCCUUUGAACAGAUGAGUGAUGGUGAUCACAACUCGGGGGCGGGGAGGGCGCCGCCGUCACUGGGAUCCAGGCCCACUUCCGUGGAGCACACCGAAGGGUCCCACUGACCCCCAGUGGUCAGGGUCCUCAGCCAAGACCACCGUAGGACUCAAGUUCAGGUGAAGCCUGAAGGACGUGCUGGGGUGACCCGGACCGCUGGAAGCCAGGAGCUCAGGGCUGCUCUCGCCCAGCCUGAUGCAGUUCACAACCCCAUGAGAGUGGCCGCCUGGAGGAGCCGGUCACAGCCUGACCAACAGUGACGUGAGACUCGCCCGGUUACACCGCCCCCCGCCCCCCACCGUGCCCUUCCUCCCGUGUACAAAGUCCUGAGUUCCCAGCUGCAGAAAUGAAGUUCGCACAGCGCACUGACUGUAAAUCCUUCAACAGCAUUUCCCAGAAAGGAACACGUGCAGAUAAACCGGGAUUCAGAUACCGGGGUGGAGCUGGGCUCCGUGCAUCCACGGGGCCUGUGAGUGACCUGGACAUCCGAGGGUCCUCUCGGGUGGCCAUGGGGGCCUCCUGGCCCCAGCUGCCAGCCCUCCUGCCGCUCCCGUGCCCUCCCAGGUGAAGCAGAGCUUGCCCGACUGGCCACCCUGAGCUGCCCGAAGCUUGUGAGCAACGGGAGCAGCUGACGCCAGCCUCUGGGUUCAGGCCGUCCCGUGCCCUCAGGCCCCAGGGUCGUGCGGAGCUUCCUCCCGGCCAGGCCACCACUCUGCACUCUGCGGGGCUGGGGGCUGCCGAGCCGGAGAGGCCUUUGCCAGUGAGGGUUGACGCGUGGGACCCCUCAGUUUGCUGGAAGUUUAACUCGACUUCAACGGAUAAGGGCAGGGCCUGCACAGGAGCGGGGGCUUGGUGGGCCCUGUGGGGGCCUGGCAAGGGGGUGCUUGCCCUUGUGGGGGUCUUUCCAGGCCCGCUCACGGCCUGGGAUGGGGCUCUCAGCCUCCGCACCCUGCCUGCACGCCCACAGCUGCCCCUGCUCCCAGGGAGCCGUCCAUGCGGGUUCCUCCCCUACCCACACCCUGGCUGAGGAGCAGGGGGAGAAAAGAGCGUCUUUCUUUUUUGCUAAAAGGUGUCUGUGUGCAAGUGCUCAGAGCCAGGAUAAUUUUAACUCAGAGGCUGGCCAAAAAAUGCCACUGGGUUUCUUUUUUCCCCCUGGCCGGCUCAGCAGGGAGGCGCCGGGCGGCGCGGAAGCCCCCGCCCGCCUAGGUGGGCCCGGCUGAAUGGGGGGCUUGUGCCGCCGCCGCCAGGGCGGGACCUGGCAUCCA